Haliotis rubra (blacklip abalone) is the source of this 576-nucleotide long non-coding RNA. RefSeq lists it as uncharacterized. Lineage: Eukaryota; Metazoa; Mollusca; Gastropoda; Lepetellida; Haliotidae. The record is from RefSeq and is a predicted model, not a curated record. The transcript has 2 exons.
UGAUUCUAAGACCGUACACCAUUGCUGUGGUGCGUAUCUGCUACGUUCUCUAAAAUAUUUCCUACCGUAUCGCACUUAUUUUAUAUCCGUACAUAUGCCGAUACGGCCCUUAUCUGGAGCCCUGUGUAUGUAUUCACAGGAGAUGAAGGAACAUGGAGUGCACAAGACUGUGAGGUCCUGAUGAGGUGAACAAUGGGUUUGAACGCUGUAGGUUUUACAUCCAACAUAUGUCAGGUUAUGUACAAACAGUUAAUGUUAAGCUGUAGUGAACAAAGAUAACUUGAGCAGGGACUAGUUCGCUCAAGGGUUAACGCUUUACUCCAUCAAGUUGCCUGAUUACUUCUGGUAAUGGUUUUACUGCCUGCAGCAGUCUGCUGUAUAUUGUGGCUGUAUGAAAUAUAUACCAUGUAUCAUUGAUUUUAUAUGUUCACUGUCAGUAUAUUACCAUCAUGGAGUUGUAUCUUUUAGUAACCAUGAUGACUGUUGUACCACCAGUGAGAUGUUGUAUGAAAUACAUGGUGACAGUGUUGUUUACAAGUUGUAUAUUUCAUGUAAAUAAACAUGCUGAUCUCAUUA